Molecule: ribosomal RNA, 254 nt
Filed under: uncultured bacterium
Lineage: Bacteria
Description: partial 16S ribosomal RNA
Rfam family: Bacterial small subunit ribosomal RNA
Source: RNAcentral
UACGGAGGGGACUAGCGUUGUUCGGAAUUACUGGGUGUAAAGCGCACGUAGGCGGAUUUGUAAGUCAGGGGUGAAAUCCCGGGGCUCAACCUCGGAACUGCCUUUGAUACUGCAAAUCUCGAGUCCGGAAGAGGUGAGUGGAAUUCCUAGUGUAGAGGUGAAAUUCGUAGAUAUUAGGAAGAAACACCAGUGGCGAAGGCGGCUCACUGGUCCGGUACUGACGCUGAGGUGCGAAAGCGUGGGGAGCAAACAGG